AGUGAACGCUGGCGGUAGGCCUAACACAUGCAAGUCGAGCGGCAGCACAGUAAGAGCUUGCUCUUACGGGUGGCGAGUGGCGGACGGGUGAGGAAUACAUCGGAAUCUACUUUUUCGUGGGGGAUAACGUAGGGAAACUUACGCUAAUACCGCAUACGACCUACGGGUGAAAGCAGGGGAUCUUCGGACCUUGCGCGAUUGAAUGAGCCGAUGUCGGAUUAGCUAGUUGGCGGGGUAAAGGUCCACCAAGGCGACGAUCCGUAGCUGGUCUGAGAGGAUGAUCAGCCACACUGGAACUGAGACACGGUCCAGACUCCUACGGGAGGCAGCAGUGGGGAAUAUUGGACAAUGGGCGCAAGCCUGAUCCAGCCAUACCGCGUGGGUGAAGAAGGCCUUCGGGUUGUAAAGCCCUUUUGUUGGGAAAGAAAAGCAGCAGGUUAAUACCCCGCUGUUCUGACGGUACCCAAAGAAUAAGCACCGGCUAACUUCGUG
This 492-nucleotide ribosomal RNA is filed under the name uncultured bacterium. RNAcentral's name for it is "partial 16S ribosomal RNA". It matches the Rfam family "Bacterial small subunit ribosomal RNA", at positions 29 to 507 of the family's 1533-position model. The record is from RNAcentral.